RNAcentral lists this long non-coding RNA (905 nucleotides) under Manihot esculenta (cassava). RNAcentral's name for it is "long non-coding RNA (MESC_LNC012178)". The record is from RNAcentral. Lineage: Eukaryota; Viridiplantae; Streptophyta; Magnoliopsida; Malpighiales; Euphorbiaceae.
GGAAGGGCACUUUCGGCGGCACCUUCGGCGGCCGAAAGUCCUUCCAGAGCCGAAAGUCAGGCAGGUUCGGCGGCACCUUCGGCGGCCGAAACUCCCAGACAGAGACGAAACUCAUGCAUGUUCGGCGGCACCUUCGGCGGCCGAAAGUCUCGGACAGAGCCGAAACUCAAACUUUCGGGGCAACCUUCGGCAGCCUAAAGCUGCCUCCCAAGCUGGUUCGGCAGCCGAAAGUACCUUCGGCUGCCGAACCUGGUUUCUGCCAAAGGGCAGAAACUUGGUUCUUCAUGCCCAAAACAACCCCCUACACAACCAAUCAUGCAUAAACCUAUUCUACAACAAGCAUACUCAAACAUACAAGCUCCUAGGGGUCUCCAACAAGCUUAAACCCCAUCUACAACACACAAGCAAGCCACAUUGCACAUAAACACACAUUAAACCAUGGAUUUUUCAUAAAAACCCAUCAAGCCUACUCAUGCAUUUCUACCCCAAAAACUUGCAUAAAACUUACUCAAAACACAUAUAGAACUAGAGAUCGGCUCUUACCUCUUGAAGAGCGAGAGAAAAACGAUCCUAGCUCGAAGAUGGGGAGAUUCGAGUUCUUGAACUUCAAAGCUCCAAAACUUGCUUAAACUUUAAAACUCUUCAAAAACAAGAUGUAACUUGUUAAGAUCUAAAGGAUUUGAGGAAAAACACUUGAAAUGACCAUAGGAGGGCUAAAGCUUACCGUCGGCCGAAAUGGGAGAGAAAACCUCGCCUGUUUCGGUCACGGGGUCUCUUAUAGGGCUGGUUCUGCCACCUUUCGGCGGCCUAACGUGCCCCCACAUCUCAUGCAUGUUCGGCGGCCGAACAUGAGGUUCGGCGGCCGAACCUUGAGCCUUUCAAACAAGGCUUUCGGAGGCCUAAAG